CCCUUAGAUGUCCUGGGCCGCACGCGCGUUACACUGAUGCAUUCAACGAGCUUAUAGCCUUGGCCGAGAGGCCUGGGCAAUCUUGUUAACGUGCAUCGUGAUAGGGAUAGAUUAUUGAAAUUAUUAAUCUUGAACGAGGAAUUCCUAGUAAACGCAGAUCAUCAAUCUGCAUUGAUUACGUCCCUGCCCUUUGUACGCACCGCCCGUCGCACCUACCGAUUGGAUGGUCCGGUGAAGCCUCGGGAUUGUGGUUCUUGCCGCUUUAUUGUGGCGUGACCGCGAGAACUUGUCUAAACCUUAUCAUCUAGAGGAAGGUGAAGUCGUAACA
This 328-nucleotide ribosomal RNA is filed under the name uncultured eukaryote. RNAcentral describes it as "partial 18S ribosomal RNA". It matches the Rfam family "Eukaryotic small subunit ribosomal RNA", at positions 1470 to 1796 of the family's 1831-position model. The record is from RNAcentral.